UAUAACUAACGAGGAUGGGUGAAAUUCCCUACCGGUGGUAAAGUCCACAAAUCCAAUUAUUUGGGUUGAUCUGAUGUAAUGCAGAACCGACAGUAAAGUCUGGAAGGGAGUUAGGUAUA
Molecule: non-coding RNA, 119 nt
Filed under: Halanaerobium praevalens
Lineage: Bacteria; Bacillati; Bacillota; Clostridia; Halanaerobiales; Halanaerobiaceae
Also listed under: 1 other name
Description: FMN sequence
Rfam family: FMN riboswitch aptamer (RFN element)
About the family: The RFN element is a highly conserved domain that is found frequently in the 5'-untranslated regions of prokaryotic mRNAs that encode for flavin mononucleotide (FMN) biosynthesis and transport proteins. This element is a metabolite-dependent riboswitch that directly binds FMN in the absence of proteins.
Source: RNAcentral